This 253-nucleotide ribosomal RNA is filed under the name uncultured bacterium. Its description in RNAcentral is "partial 16S ribosomal RNA". It matches the Rfam family "Bacterial small subunit ribosomal RNA", at positions 524 to 776 of the family's 1533-position model. The record is from RNAcentral.
UACGGAGGGGGCUAGCGUUGUUCGGAAUUACUGGGCGUAAAGCGCGCGUAGGCGGCUUUGUAAGUUAGAGGUGAAAGCCCGAAGCUCAACUUCGGAAUUGCCUUUAAGACUGCAUCGCUAGAAUCGUGGAGAGGUAAGUGGAAUUCCGAGUGUAGAGGUGAAAUUCGUAGAUAUUCGGAAGAACACCAGUGGCGAAGGCGACUUACUGGACACGUACUGACGCUGAGGUGCGAAAGCGUGGGGAGCAAACAGG